RNAcentral lists this ribosomal RNA (374 nucleotides) under uncultured bacterium. RNAcentral describes it as "bacterial SSU rRNA". It matches the Rfam family "Bacterial small subunit ribosomal RNA", at positions 30 to 416 of the family's 1533-position model. The record is from RNAcentral.
AUUGAACGCUGGCGGCAGGCUUAACACAUGCAAGUCGAACGGAACCUUCGGGUUUAGUGGCGAACGGGUGAGUAACACCUAGGAAUCUGCCUAUUAGUGGGGGAUAACGGCUCGAAAGGGUCGCUAAUACCGCAUACGUCCUACGGGAGAAAGAGGGGGAUCUUCGGACCUCUUGCUAAUAGAUGAGCCUAGGCCGGAUUAGCUAGUUGGUAGGGUAAAGGCCUACCAAGGCGACGAUCCGUAGCUGGUCUGAGAGGAUGAUCAGCCACACUGGAACUGAGACACGGUCCAGACUCCUACGGGAGGCAGCGGUGGGGAAUAUUGGACAAUGGGGGCAACCCUGAUCCAGCCAUGCCGCGUGUGUGAAGAAGGCC